Molecule: long non-coding RNA, 1838 nt
Filed under: Oncorhynchus mykiss (rainbow trout)
Lineage: Eukaryota; Metazoa; Chordata; Actinopteri; Salmoniformes; Salmonidae
Description: lncRNA (ENSOMYG00000004213.2)
Source: RNAcentral
AUGGGGGCGGUCCUCGCCCUCUUCCUCAUUACCGUCUUCACCAUCAUCAUCCUCACCGCACGGAAGACCUCGCCCCCAGCGUACACAGACAAAGUGAUUGAUCUACCUCCAACACACAAGCCGCCUCCUCCAUACACAGAGAGACCCCCAGCCAUCCCUCUGGCUGUCCAUGCACCACAGGUGGCCUCCCUGUCACAGGCUCGCAGGGCUGAUCGCCGGUUUGAGAUGGCAGAGAGAACACCCACCAGGCUCGCGCACCAGGAACCCCGAAGCCCCUCCCAUCAGCCACUGUCUUAUCAGGAAUGGGUGUGUCACCAGCAUGGGACGGACCGCAUCUUCAUCAACCACCGGGAAAACUAUGUGUGACAGACACACCUUGAGCCCUUCUAUGGACCUGUCACUCACCCCGUCCCCACCCAUGCUCACAGAGGACAUCCUUUACAAUGUGAAGAACACAGGCAAAAAAACAGCUCAUGAUUUGAUCAAGCCUUCACAGAUGUGUCUACUCCACAUUUAAACUCAUUUGAGAGCAGCAGUUAUCAGCUGUAAGAAACAAGACUAAUGAGGCCGAAGCAUAAACUGCUGAGUUUCUUGAAGGAACACAUCCAUACACCCCCUCCACUCCACAACCAUAAACCACUACACACCCUUUCUGUUCCCAACCACAUUAAUAAACAGAGCAUAACAGUAGGGGGAAUGGGAGGAAACCGACUUGGUACAGUACGACAAAAUAGAUAUUUAAAACAACUCACUAAUCUCUGUUGUGUACUAUAUAUAUAUAGGAGUGGAAUAAUAUGAAAACACCAUACUAAUAUUUAACAUGUAUAGGAAUUAAAUAAGUUACUAUGUCACUGUAGCUAUAGGGAUAUUGUAAUUAUGUGAUAAUCCUGUGUUCAGUUAUGCUUUUUGAAUUAGAUUUAAACCUAAUUAAAACAUUUUAUAUAAUCCCACAGCACCCCUAACACUUGUACUUGACUUGUUCCCCCCUAAUAGCACUGACUUUGCUGAUAGCUCCUUUAGUGAGGAAAAAUGUACUGACGAUGACUGAGAUAUGUGGUAGCUAUCUUAAGAUGAAUGCACUAACUGUAAGUCACUUGAUAAGAGCGCCUGCUAAACUACUAAAAUAAAUGUAAUCAUUAUUUAUAUAAUUGUGGUAUUAAAUAUCAGACAUAUCUCAAAAUGGUUCUGGUAAACACGCAGCCAAUUUAGUAGGAUUCUAACUUUCUGGUAUAAGAACAAAGAUGGCAACAUUGUCUGAAGCAGGUUCUGGGUGCCCGUUUCGUCUUCUGCCCUAUCGCUACACAGGUGAUUUAGAUAAUCAACUUGUCAUCAAGCUCGGAUGAUUUGAAUCAGCUGUAUAGUGUAAGGGGAAAAUAACUAAAAGUACACCCAGGGCGGGCCCCAGUACCGAGUUUGGAAAAUCCUGGUCUGAAGGACCAGGCACCAGUGUUACAUCAGGAUCAAGUAUUUCAUUGAGUAGGCUAUAUCAGAUAGUAACAUAUAAUGUAAAUUCGCUGUAUACAAAUGUUCAGAACUAAAAUGUUCAGAAAAUAUAAAUGUGGUGUAGUUCUAGUGUUUUGAGAAGUCAACUGAAUCAUAUAAAAUAUUUACUUCCGUACAUGAAAUUUAAACAUGAAUCGUUCUUUCGUCAGUGAGAAAAUCAUAUUUAGUUUUUUUUCAUUGCAAGUUUGUAGUUUUUGAAAUUUUCUUGUGCCAUGUUAAUAUUUGAAGGGGGAUUUUUUUCCACUAUAUAUAUGAUCCGUUUUUAAAAUUGUAAUUCUUACAUUGUGACUAGUUAAAUAUAUGCAGUGUUUUCUUUUUUUAUAUAUAUUAAACAU